AGUGAACGCUGGCGGUAGGCCUAACACAUGCAAGUCGAACGGCAGCACAGUAAGAGCUUGCUCUUACGGGUGGCGAGUGGCGGACGGGUGAGGAAUACAUCGGAAUCUACUUUUUCGUGGGGGAUAACGUAGGGAAACUUACGCUAAUACCGCAUACGACCUACGGGUGAAAGCAGGGGAUCUUCGGACCUUGCGCGAUUGAAUGAGCCGAUGUCGGUUUAGCUAGUUGGCGGGGUAAAGGCCCACCAAGGCGACGAUCCGUAGCUGGUCUGAGAGGAUGAUCAGCCACACUGGAACUGAGCCACGGUCCAGGCUCCUACGGGAGGCACCAGUCGGGAAUAUUGGACAAUGGUCGCAAGCCUGGUCCAGCCAUACCGCGUGGGUGAAGAAGGCCUUCGGGUUGUAAAGCCCUUUUGUUGGGAAAGAAAAGCAGCAGGUUAAUACCCCGCUGUUCUGACGGUACCCAAAGAAUAAGCACCGGCUAACUUCGUG
RNAcentral lists this ribosomal RNA (492 nucleotides) under uncultured bacterium. RNAcentral describes it as "partial 16S ribosomal RNA". It matches the Rfam family "Bacterial small subunit ribosomal RNA", at positions 29 to 507 of the family's 1533-position model. The record is from RNAcentral.